This 149-nucleotide non-coding RNA is filed under the name Homo sapiens (human). The record is from RNAcentral. Lineage: Eukaryota; Metazoa; Chordata; Mammalia; Primates; Hominidae.
AAGUCUCCUUGUUAUGGGGCAGUGCAGCUGUAGGCCAAGCUAUAUCCGUUUGGGAAGGGAGAAAAAACAGUAGCUGGCAUCCAUAUCCACUUCUCCGGGUGAGUGGUGCUGGAGAGGUAUGUAGGACUCAAUGUGGCCAGCCACACAAA